RNAcentral lists this ribosomal RNA (619 nucleotides) under uncultured bacterium. Its description in RNAcentral is "bacterial SSU rRNA". It matches the Rfam family "Bacterial small subunit ribosomal RNA", at positions 79 to 694 of the family's 1533-position model. The record is from RNAcentral.
CUUGCUUCUCUUGAGAGCGGCGGACGGGUGAGUAAUGCCUAGGAAUCUGCCUGGUAGUGGGGGAUAACGUCCGGAAACGGACGCUAAUACCGCAUACGUCCUACGGGAGAAAGCAGGGGACCUUCGGGCCUUGCGCUAUCAGAUGAGCCUAGGUCGGAUUAGCUAGUUGGUGGGGUAAUGGCUCACCAAGGCGACGAUCCGUAACUGGUCUGAGAGGAUGAUCAGUCACACUGGAACUGAGACACGGUCCAGACUCCUACGGGAGGCAGCAGUGGGGAAUAUUGGACAAUGGGCGAAAGCCUGAUCCAGCCAUGCCGCGUGUGUGAAGAAGGUCUUCGGAUUGUAAAGCACUUUAAGUUGGGAGGAAGGGCAGUAAAUUAAUACUUUGCUGUUUUGACGUUACCGACAGAAUAAGCACCGGCUAACUCUGUGCCAGCAGCCGCGGUAAUACAGAGGGUGCAAGCGUUAAUCGGAAUUACUGGGCGUAAAGCGCGCGUAGGUGGUUCGUUAAGUUGGAUGUGAAAUCCCCGGGCUCAACCUGGGAACUGCAUUCAAAACUGACGAGCUAGAGUAUGGUAGAGGGUGGUGGAAUUUCCUGUGUAGCGGUGAAAUGCGUAGA